GGCUUUUUCUAGGGCUGGCUCUGUUUUCUUUAGCCUAUCGCCUGCUUAAAUCGGGGCCAGGAAGUGGCAGGUGAGGAGGCAGCCCCAGGAAAUAGUCCAGGAGGAUUCGUGGGGAGGGGCGUGCUUUUCCCCUCGAUCAGCAAGCACCGAGUCCCUUUCAACACCCAGAAAUAGACGCCACUGAGCUCUCUCUCCUCUGACCAUAAAAAGCAGCUGGCCCUGUAGGGAAGGCUGGCGGCUGCAAGCUCCAGGAGGCAGGAGCAGGAAUAAAGGCUGCCUGAGGAGCUUGGGAGUCCUGCUGCUGGCUCGAUGCUGGAGCCAUUCAGUCUCCUGGGCAAGAAACCCACCAGCUGAACACAGGCCGAGUCUCGCAAACAGUCCUGCGGCCACGGGGGCUCGGGCCACUCCUCGUUUCUGAGCUGCGCCCUGUGACUAUUUACUAAAACUCGCCAGGCCGCUGCUGCUCUGUGAUGACCUCGAACCCGAACUUCAGCCCGAACCCGAACCCGCGUCACACUGCAGGCAGCCACUUCUGUGACGCAGUUCUAGCUCUUUGCACCGGGUUUUGCGUGCUCGUCUGACAUGCGUUCGGGGAAACUGAGCAUCCGGGAGCCGGUGUAAGCCGUGACCGCAGCCUGAGGAGCCGGGCCCUCCUGCGGGGGUUGAAUGCCGGGUCCCUGGCACGCGGAGGAGAGGCGGUGGGAGGCGGGGCGCGGCCGGAGCGCUGCACGCCGCUGGCCUCUGCCCCGCAGGCCUGGCCGAGGAGCGGAGGCGCCCGGCUGGGCCCCACAGACACCGGGACUGUGGCCAUCAGGCCAGGGCCAGGGACUCCGUCUGCACCCGGCCUCUAGGGCCCUCACUCCCACAGCGCCCCCCAGCGGCACAGGGCCUCCUGGACGGAACUGAAAGUCUGAAAGUCCUGCCGGGCGACGCUCUGUUUGCACGUUUCGUCCACGUCUGCAGUGCAUCGUGACUGCGCUCCUCCCGUGGCGAAGGGACUGAAUGUUCCCAGGAGAAAUGGAGUUCUCUCCAACUGUUACUCAUGAAGAGGGCUGAUCCACCAAAGAACAAAUUCUUGGGAGAACUCAUACAAAUUUUUUUUCUACAUAAUUCUGUCAAACUCCGCAAGGGCAGCCAUUGGUGUAAUCAGCAAAAAGCCAUCCUGCAGCUGGAAAAAAAUUACAUCUUUGAAUAAGAAGGACAAUGAAGGGGGUGAGGAAAUUCCAAGAUCAUCUCUUGGUAGAAAAGAGGAACACGUAGCCCUCCCUACCUGGACUUCUGCCUGGACCUCUGCUGUAAGCUUCAGUGCUGUACAGGGUGAUUGCACCUUCUUAAUUUUCCAGAGUCUCUGAAAGAGAAAGGAAGCCAAUCUUGCCCUCCAGGAAAUGGGGGACAAUGUUGACUGUCACCACUUUGUACAGCUAUUGCUUGUUUAACAACUGUUAUGGCUUGCAUUUAGAUGUCCCCCAAAGCCUCACGUGGUCAUAGGUGGGGCUUUUUCAGAGGUGGCUAAAUCUAGACUGUGCAAUGCUGGAAUUGAUUCAUGAUGCAAUGCUAAGAUGAAGGGCACUAGGAUUAAAGGUGUGAGUGCUACCCACCCUAAGUAGCUGAAUAAGAUGUAAGGGAUAGAAAGAACUGUUGUUGUCCCUUGUUGCUUUUGCUACCUUCUGCCCCAUCAUGAACUCUUUCUCUUCUAUGAUGCCUGUCUGCCUUGCCAGCCUGCCUUGGAGCCAGAUGCUUAUAGACUAAAAUCUGCAGAAACUGUGAGCUAAAUAAACUUUUCCUCCCUUAACUUGUGAAUAUUGGGUAUUUUGUCUCAACAAGAAAAGUAACUAAUACAGAAUUUGGUACCAGGAGUGAGGUUGUUGCUGUGACUAUACCUGACCAUAUGGUUCAGGAGUUUGACAAGAGUUUGUAAAGGUUCAGCGAUACUGGCUAAAAAGGUAGAGCUGGAACACCUUAGGUUAUACUUGAUGGAAGAUUCUGGUCAGAGCUCAAAAGACCAAAAGGCUGAUAGAAAUCCUUCUAGUAAGGAAGGAUAGGAAUCCUUCCAGUAAAGACCAGGAUUGAGAUAUUUCUGCUGGAAAGAAACACCUCAUUAGCUGUUAGAUUCCAGACAAUAUGUGUUACACUUUCAUAGAAAGUUUGUCUACAUUUUGCUCAUGUCCAGAGACUUUGCCUAAGACUAAGAUUAAGGGUGGCAGACUAAUGAAUCUUCCAGAAAAAAUUUUGAGGAAGUCUAAUGUUGAGUCCAUGACAUAGCUUCUGUUGGGGGCUUCUAGCCAGAUCUAUGUUGAGAAUCAAGACCAAAGGGGCCAACAGAAUGACUUAAAACAUUGUAAGUUUGGCCAAAAAAAAUAAAAAUCAAUGGUCUGUGGACUGCAAAGAUAGAGCAGAAGAGAUCUUACUUGCAGCAAAAAAAAAAAAAAAAAAACAAAAACCCAAAAAACAAAAGAAUUAAAAAGAUGGUCUAAGGACAUCACAUGAAACAGCAGGACUCCAGCCUUUACAGUCUUAAAAUUGCAAAAGUAAAAGACUUUGCUUUAAAAAGAGAGCCCAGACCAUGUUCCAGAAUGGCAGUGGCCUAGGAAAGCUUUAUUUUCAGGAUUUGGUUCAGAGGCACUGGACCCCUACAGCCAAGAGAGAAGGAAGCCCGGCUACUGCUCCAGCUGGUGGCAGACCUUGGCAUCAUCCACGUGGUGCUGGUUUUAGGCACAUGCAGAUUGUGGGAGUUGUGGUGUCAGGAAGGCUUCCACCCAGAUUUCAGAAGAAGGCCUGGGAGGCAAGGCUGUGUGCCCCUGAGAGGGCAAGGGAAACAAUGCAAAAGAGAUCCCAAAAGUUGAGAGAAGCCAAGAACAUGGAUUGUCUGAGGAAAACUAUAGAGAGAGCAGAGCUGGCCCCAGAGAGAAGCCAUAUCAGCUACAGCAAGUGGCAGUGCUGUACAGACAGAGCCACCCAAGCCCUUUGGAGUUCACAACUUGCAAAUUGCAGAGCAUGCUGAAAGUGAAACUGUGAGAUUUGAUGUUUGCCCUGCGAGAUUUGGGUCUUGCUUUGUUAUCAUUCCUUGCUGUCCUUCUGUUUGUAACUUUAAAAAUAGAAGUGUCUAUCUUGUGCCAUCAAAUGUUAAAAGUGUUUAACUUUCUUUUCAUUUGUACAGGGGCUUGCAGCUAAGAGUUUGCCUUAAAUCUCAGAGGAGACUUGGGUCUUGGACUUUUCAGCAGUGCUGAAACUGUCAGGAUUUUGUCACCUCUUAGAGACGGACUCCAUGCCUUUUGCAUAAAGAGAUGUGCAUGAGUCUAGGGGGAGGGGCCAGGGGAUGAAUGCUUUGGCUUCUGUCUAGAUGUCCGCCUAAAGGCUCAUGUGGUCAUACGUGAUGGUUUUUUGGAGGUGGCUAGAUCUAGUGUGUGUGACUCUGGAAUUGAUGCAGUGCUUGGCUCGAGGCCAUUAGGAUUAAGGGUGUGAGUGCUGCCUGCCCUAAGUAGCCUGGAUAAGAAAGAGCUGUGGUUGUCCCUUGUUGCUUUGGUGCCUUUGCUCACCAUGAACUGUUUCUCCUCUGUGAUACCUGCCUGCCAUGCCACCCUGCUUUGGACCCAGCCUAAAACCUCUACAAACUGUGAGCUACAUAAACCCUUUUUCCCUUAACUUGUGGGUGUUGGGUAUUUUGUCUCAACAAUGGAAAAAUGUAACUAAGACAAUGACCUACCGUUUUAAUGACUGUUCAGGCUUAUGACCCUCCACUUGGACUUACACCCAAAUUCAGACUUACAACAAAAGAAUGCAAGCAGCAGUGCAGCCUUAUGGUGGCUCCUUCUACAGUGCUGUGAUUUUUGCUGAUUGUACUGUACUGUAGUUUUACGUUCUGUUAUACAUUACAGUAGCAUGUAAGAGUUAUGCAAAUAAAAGCAAAGUCAUCCAGUUGGAGUUUCUUUUGACCAUUUCUUUGUUCAGAAAAGUGUAAUGUGCAUACUGUAUACAAUUCCUCAUUUAGGGACCAAGUCGUUUAAUGACCCAGUUGCAGAAGCACAGCUAUGUCAUUAAGCAAGGAAUGUCCAUGACUCCUGUCAGCGACCUCUAAUGAAGAGACCAGUAAUGUUCCUGAGUAUCCCACAACACAACAAAGAGGUAUGCAGUUAAAAAAAAAAAUUGUCAAUAAGGCCAAGUUGAAAAACCCUGCAUUGAAACCAUAAAUAGCUAAUACAUUUUAGAUAUAUUCUGGAAACUGCCAUUGAAAAGUGAUUAUAGAUUUGAGAGUUUUCAAGGAGUAUCUUUUAGUCUAUAGUAAACUCAGGAUACAAUUAAAAAUAUCUCUUUAGAUGAAAACGAGAAACACCUUUACUGUCCAAAUUCUUUGGACAGUCAUCCAUAAUUUACUGAUCUGUGAGUAGGUUUAGAAAUUCUGGUGGAACUUAGGAAAAACAAACCUGUCCCCUCAGCUUUAAUAGUGUGAUCCAUGUGUUGUGGUCACAGCAUUCUGAGGGGUGAGUAUGGAACAUUUGUGCUCCCACAGGGACUGUUCCCUCACUGCCUCAGUAGCAGCUCCUUUUAGGCAAGUGUUCCAGCUUCACUAAUUUUUGAAGUUUUUGGUAAUGUUUUAUUUUUUAUUAGUCCACGUUUGCAGAACAUUAAUGACCACAUUCCUCCCGGGAAAUCGGUGCAUGCACACGAUACAGCUUAAGUCUUUUUUCACCGCAUUCUCUCCUCCCUCCCUGCCUCUUUCUCCUCCCUUCAUCACUCCAUCCCCUUUCUCUUAGAGAAGGACCUGUCUCCCUACUUCCUGUUAUCUAUCUUUUAUUUUCUCUUUGGGUUUCUCAUAUAAAAGAAACCAUGCCACAUUAAAGCUUGUGGGCCUGAUUUACUUCACUUAACAUCAUGGUCUCGAGGUGCAUC
This 4887-nucleotide long non-coding RNA is filed under the name Heterocephalus glaber (naked mole-rat). Its description in RNAcentral is "lncRNA (ENSHGLG00000032592.1)". Lineage: Eukaryota; Metazoa; Chordata; Mammalia; Rodentia; Bathyergidae. The record is from RNAcentral.